RNAcentral lists this ribosomal RNA (266 nucleotides) under uncultured bacterium. Its description in RNAcentral is "partial 16S ribosomal RNA". It matches the Rfam family "Bacterial small subunit ribosomal RNA", at positions 88 to 354 of the family's 1533-position model. The record is from RNAcentral.
CGUUUUAGUGGCGGACGGGUGAGUAACGCGUGGGUAACCUGCCUUACACAGGGGGAUAACACUUAGAAAUAGGUGCUAAAACCGCAUAAGCGCACAGCUUCGCAUGAAGCGGUGUGAAAAACUCCGGUGGUGUAAGAUGGACCCGCGUCUGAUUAGCUUGUUGGCGGGGUAACGGCCCACCAAGGCGACGAUCAGUAGCCGGCCUGAGAGGGCGGACGGCCACAUUGGGACUGAGACACGGCCCAGACUCCUACGGGAGGCAGCAG